This is a long non-coding RNA of Balaenoptera musculus (blue whale), 270 nucleotides long. RefSeq lists it as uncharacterized. The record is from RefSeq and is a predicted model, not a curated record. The transcript has 3 exons. NCBI's taxonomy places the organism in Eukaryota, Metazoa, Chordata, Mammalia, Artiodactyla, Balaenopteridae.
CCUGCUGUCCUUCAGUCUCGGUCCCUCCCUCUGGAUUUCUGUCCCUUUCUCUCAGGCUCCCACCGCAUCACCGUCUCUAAUCCUCAACCUGGCCAGGACUCGAGGCUGCGUCACUGCAGAGAGUUGCAGAAGUGGGGCCCGUCCUGCGGACCAGGGAGCAGCCAGGCACGGGAUCAAGUUACCAAACCAGCGUUUUUGCGGAGAGAGCCGGACACUAACUUUUUUCUGAAAAAAAUCACGCGCUUAAAAAAAAAAAGGAAGAGACCCAGG